AUGAAAACAAACAUUAGGGGGAAAUAUCUGGAAACACCUAGAGAAUGGACUCUUUGUAGUUUGGUUCAUAACCACUCCAUCAAGAUCCUCGAUGGGUAG
This 99-nucleotide ribosomal RNA is filed under the name Triticum aestivum (bread wheat). RNAcentral describes it as "partial small subunit ribosomal RNA". Lineage: Eukaryota; Viridiplantae; Streptophyta; Magnoliopsida; Poales; Poaceae. The record is from RNAcentral.